CCUACGGGCGGCAGCAGUGAGGAAUAUUGGUCAAUGGACGCGAGUCUGAACCAGCCAAGUAGCGUGAAGGAUGACUGCCCUAUGGGUUGUAAACUUCUUUUAUAUGGGAAUAAAACGUUCCACGUGUGGGAUUUUGUAUGUACCAUAUGAAUAAGGAUCGGCUAACUCCGUGCCAGCAGCCGCGGUAAUACGGAGGAUCCGAGCGUUAUCCGGAUUUAUUGGGUUUAAAGGGAGCGUAGGUGGAUUGUUAAGUGAGUUGUGAAAGUUUGCGGCUCAACCGUAAAAUUGCAGUUGAAACUGGCAGUCUUGAGUACAGUAGAGGUGGGCGGAAUUCGUGGUGUAGCGGUGAAAUGCUUAGAUAUCACGAAGAACUCCGAUUGCGAAGGCAGUUCACUGGACUGCAACUGACACUGAGGCUCGAAAGUGUGGGUAUCAAACAGGAUUAGAUACCCGGGUAGUC
Molecule: ribosomal RNA, 460 nt
Filed under: uncultured bacterium
Lineage: Bacteria
Description: partial 16S ribosomal RNA
Rfam family: Bacterial small subunit ribosomal RNA
Source: RNAcentral